This 254-nucleotide ribosomal RNA is filed under the name uncultured bacterium. Its description in RNAcentral is "partial 16S ribosomal RNA". It matches the Rfam family "Bacterial small subunit ribosomal RNA", at positions 524 to 776 of the family's 1533-position model. The record is from RNAcentral.
UACGUAGGGUGCAAGCGUUGUCCGGAAUUAUUGGGCGUAAAGAGCUCGUAGGCGGUCUGUCGCGUCGGCUGUGAAAACCUGGGGCUCAACCCCGGGCUUGCAGCCGAUACGGGCAGACUAGAGUUCGGUAGGGGAGAUCGGAAUUCCUGGUGUAGCGGUGAAAUGCGCAGAUAUCAGGAGGAACACCGGUGGCGAAGGCGGAUCUCUGGGCCGAUACUGACGCUGAGGAGCGAAAGCGUGGGGGAGCGAACAGG